Drosophila virilis is the source of this 357-nucleotide non-coding RNA. The record is from RefSeq and is a predicted model, not a curated record. NCBI's taxonomy places the organism in Eukaryota, Metazoa, Arthropoda, Insecta, Diptera, Drosophilidae.
CCCCGGAGAUUGCUCGAUUGGCGAACGGAAAGUAUCCGAAAAUAAAAUCAAGAAUAGACAGUGCCAAUGCUGUGCUCUGUGGUCCAUUACUGAGCACAAAGUUCUGUGCAUGGAAUAUGUGCACACAUAUACAUAUGAACAUUUGUGUGCCUUUGUAUACCGCUGUGUGUUUAUGAAUUUUCGAUUAAUCAACGCUUGACUUUCAUUUGCUGCGCUCCGCUCUGAGUUGUGAUGACAUAUCUGACAGGAUGAAAGAUUGUGCGAUGGGACGACGGCUGUUGCAGAGUUUCGACAAUUUUAUUUAUGAUAAUUUGCAUGUUCAACAAAGGUCGUGAAAUAAAUAGGGACAACAAAUCA